GACAGAGGGGGCAAGCGUUGCUCGGAAUUACUGGGCGUAAAGCGCGCGUAGGCGGCUUUGCAAGUCGGGUGUGAAAUCCCCAGGCUCAACCUGGGAACUGCAUUCGAGACUGCAUUGCUAGAGUAUGGGAGAGGGAAGUGGAAUUUCCGGUGUAGCGGUGAAAUGCGUAGAUAUCGGAAGGAACAUCAGUGGCGAAGGCGGCUGCCUGGCCCAAUACUGACACUCAGGUGCGACAGCGUGGGGAGCAAACAGG
This 253-nucleotide ribosomal RNA is filed under the name uncultured bacterium. RNAcentral's name for it is "partial 16S ribosomal RNA". It matches the Rfam family "Bacterial small subunit ribosomal RNA", at positions 524 to 776 of the family's 1533-position model. The record is from RNAcentral.